Molecule: ribosomal RNA, 468 nt
Filed under: uncultured bacterium
Lineage: Bacteria
Description: partial 16S ribosomal RNA
Rfam family: Bacterial small subunit ribosomal RNA
Source: RNAcentral
GACGAACGCUGGCGGCGUGCUUAACACAUGCAAGUCGAACGGAAAGGCCCUGCUUUUGUGGGGUGCUCGAGUGGCGAACGGGUGAGUAACACGUGAGUAACCUGCCCUUGACUUUGGGAUAACUUCAGGAAACUGGGGCUAAUACCGGAUAGGAUCUCCUGCUGCAUGGUGGGGGAUGGAAAGUUUCGGCGGUUGGGGAUGGACUCGCGGCUUAUCAGCUUGUUGGUGAGGUAGUGGCUUACCAAGGCUUUGACGGGUAGCCGGCCUGAGAGGGUUACCGGCCACCUUGGGACUGAGAUACGGAGCAGACUCCUACGGGCGGCAGUAGUGGGGAAUAUUGCACAAUGGGCGGAAGCCUGAUGCAGCGACGCCGCGUGCGGGAUGACGGCCUUCGGGUUGUAAACCGCUUUCGCCUGUGACGAGGCGUGAGUGACGGUAAUGGGUAAAGAAGCACCGGCUAACUACGUG